RNAcentral lists this long non-coding RNA (2543 nucleotides) under Mus musculus (house mouse). RNAcentral's name for it is "long non-coding RNA chr3:138755053-138757596". Lineage: Eukaryota; Metazoa; Chordata; Mammalia; Rodentia; Muridae. The record is from RNAcentral.
AUCUCACCAGCCCCGGCCCAUAUCUUUUAACUGACGACGACCAUAGGCCACUCAUUCACUUUCUAGGGAAAUUCUCGGGCUUUGUUUUUUGAGAUGGUCUGUUCAAGACUGUCCUUCUGACUGGCCUUGAACUCAUGACUCUUCAGCCUUAGCAUCGCAAGUGCUGAGAUCGCUGACAUGUGCUACCACAUCCAGCUUGGGAGAAGGGUUUACCUGACAUAGCUUUUCACAGUAACCCAUCGUGCAGCUUGGCUUAGGCCUCUGGUGCUCUUGGGUGAUGUGGAGUCUGCUGUUAAGCAUUUGGGCUUCAAGAGUGCGGCAAGUUUUCUUCUACACCAUUCUAGCCUUGGGACCUUAGGCAAAUUAUUUAGUUGCUGGUGAAGUCUUCUUUUGCAAAAUGGUACGUUUAGUAGUAGUUUUAAUAUUAUUAUUUUGUUAGGACCUGCAUUUGAAUGCAGUAUUUUACAAGUACCAAACAAGCAAACAAGCAAGCAAUAGUCUUACCAUCAAGAUACAUCCCCAGCAAUUUAUAUUCUCCUUCACCUCUAUUUUGAGACACAGUUUUACUGUGUAUCUCUGUGUAUUUUGAAACUUACUAUGUAGACCAUACUGGGCUCGAACAGUCAGAAAUCUGCCUGCCUCUGCCUCCUGUGUGCUGGGAUUAAAGACGUGGAGCACCACUGGUUAAUUACUAUUCUGUUUUUCUUUUUAAAGAUUUAUUUUAUGUAUAUGAGUCCACUGUAGGUGUGUUCAGACACACCAGAAGAGGGCAUCGGAUCCCAUUAGAGAUGGUUGUGAGCCACCAUGUGGUUGCUGGGAAUUGAACUCAGGACCUCUGGAAGAGCUGUCAGUGUUCUUAACUACUGAGCCAUCUCUCCAGCCCUAAUUAAUAUUCUUAACGGGACUAUUAAAACCUAGAAUAAUCUAUCUCAGUUGUGAGGAUGAGAGGAAAGAUGUGUAAGCUGCCUGAAUGUCCCAUCUGUAUUGGCAGUUACUACUGGUUUCUCAACCCCAUCAUGUCUUUCGUUAGCUUUCCAUCCCUUCUUCAGGACCGUUAAGAUAAUGGUACCAUGUAACAUACACUUUCUGCUCUCUGCGCAAGUGUAUUCUCAGAAUAACUGAAGAAAAGUAGAUCCAGCAACUGUUCUCAGUGCUCUUCAGACUGUCCUGGAUAGAACAGAAUUCCUAUCAUGAAGACCAGGCCAUGAAUUCAUAGCUAUUGUUUAUUUAUUGUUAUUCUCUUACUUCCAGUACCCAGUGAUUUGUUCAGUGCCGUGACCAAAUACCGGUGAGAGACAGUGAAAGGGAGAGAGAGAUUACUUUUGCUCACCUUUCAGAGGUAUAGCCUGUCAUGCUGGGGAAGGGAUGCCGUGUUUGUGGCUGGGUGGUUGUAUGGUUAGAGCUCCUCACAUUUUGAUAGGCCAAGAUGUGGAGAAAGUGGAAUGCCGGCUCUUGUGUUUUCUAGGUGGUCAAGUCAACUUGACAAUGAGACGAACCAUCACAGCUGGUUAGAGUGAAUCUUUUUUUUUUUUUUUUUUUUGCAAAACCAUACUGCCCCAUAUUAGAAUUUUGUACCAGGAAGUCAGGUUUCAGAAGCUCAGCUCUGCUACUAAGCCUGACAUUUAGUAUCAGGGUGUAGGAUGGGGAUUGAAAGUACUUUAUUAGCGUCUCCUAAAUGUGGGGAUUCUAAAGCUCUCUAGGUGGCCUGACUAUAGUUCUAGCUUUUUAUUGUAAUGUAAACACUACAUAUCAGUGCCAUGUUUUAUCACACACACACAUACACAUACACACACACACACACACACACACACACACACACACACUGCAUUCUUCAUGUCAUGAGAAUGAACACCCUGCCAGAGAUAGCAAUGACUUGUGAGUUAACCCUCAUGUGCCCUUUCAAGUGACGCCCAGUUAGGCUUUGGCCUGUACCACCCACAUCACCGAAGGAUUGGGCCACUCAUCUCUGUGAAUGAGUGAUGGACUGACUGGCUUCUCUGGUACUUAAAUGAGAUGUGCUGUGCACUUGUAUCUCAAUAUGGCUGGCUGACAUGGAAGGCACUGGCUGCCAUAGCUCACCAGCUCACCACGGUCUCCCUUAACCCUGGCAGAAAAGGCAUCACAGUUCAUGCAAGGCUGGAGGCAUAAAGAACCUUGCUCCUGGGUUGCCAUGUAGAAGGUGUGCCGAAGACCCUGUACUUUGUCCUCUGGAACCCUAUCAUCUCUAGGAAUCUUACUCCCUAUGAUUCCAAGUGCAACCUCCAAGGGCCAAUCAUUGUAAGAGUAGCAUGGCCUUGGACAAACUUGUGUCUUCACAGAGUCUUUCAGGUGCCUGCAUGGUGUAUGAGACUCCCGUAACCCAUACUUGGGUUUGGUAGUCAAGAAAGGGGCCUGUGAUGUGGCAUGUACCUUGAGCAAUCUCCCCCUUGAUGCUUCCUGUUUGAUAAUGACAUUUUGAGUCACAAGGAUCCGCCCAUUUCAAGUUUUUUUUUCUUUUAAGUCAAUUCUGUGCUUAAACAUUAAAUAUACUAUUUAAGAAGGGG